Molecule: long non-coding RNA, 921 nt
Filed under: Heterocephalus glaber (naked mole-rat)
Lineage: Eukaryota; Metazoa; Chordata; Mammalia; Rodentia; Bathyergidae
Description: lncRNA (ENSHGLG00000035262.1)
Source: RNAcentral
CAAAAUAAAAGCAGAAGCCCCGCUGUUUAGAGAGUCCAGGCAACCACCAGUCCAUCUGCCUCAACAACCAGGCCACUCAAAAGCCUCAUUUCAAGGGCAAAACAUCAGAAAGGAGGAGCAAUGCAAAAGGCAAAAAGGCUGACACAGAGCAUCCAAGUUUCUACCUCUCUCCUGACAGAAUCAUUCAACACAAUCCGAUUUUCUCUGCUCAAGCCCACCUUCACUUUAAAAGAACAGAAAGGAUAGCCUUAGCUCCUAUCAAUGGUAUCAAGGCUUCCUCCCUUUGACAAGUAGCCCAGCAUCUGCAGUUUCAUCUCUUCAUCUUUUUUUCCCCCUGUAUGCACUUGUACAAAGCCAUAGCAGCUUCAUUGUAAGCUACAUGAAAUCCUAUUGGAUUCACACUGACUACGCGUGGGAUGGUCUUGCACGCCAGAAUGAUGGGAUAUCAAUGGUCCACUCGUCUGGAUUAAAGUGAGCUGGCAACCUGCAAGAAGUAACUCAGAACAUGGGUGUGUCACUGGUUUGACAUUAAGUAGAAGCUGCUUCCAUGUGGCAAUAGGACAGUGACAAGAACCUGAUUUAGCAGCUGCCACCCUGGGAAGUGACCACUCUCAGCUCUCCUUCCAGACAGAAGCAGCAUGGAAGGGGUAUCUGAGGUCUGUGUGUGACAUCAGGCAAUGCCAACCUAUCCAGGAAGCUGGGGCUAAACACAUCGAUGCUGCCCUGCACCACCUGGAACCUCCCCUGAACCCAGACAGGAACAGCAUCUUUAAAGGGCCCAACUGUUUGCUUGGAAAGACUAUCACAUGUGAAAAAAGUCUGUAUGGGAUAUGCUACCAGUGACACAGGUUACCCAGAAACACUUCCUGCCCUACACUACUGUCCUGACUUUGGAAAAAUGUGACCAAAAAAACUUCAUGC